RNAcentral lists this ribosomal RNA (370 nucleotides) under uncultured eukaryote. RNAcentral's name for it is "partial 18S ribosomal RNA". It matches the Rfam family "Eukaryotic small subunit ribosomal RNA", at positions 592 to 976 of the family's 1831-position model. The record is from RNAcentral.
CAAUAGCGUAUAUUAAAGUUGUUGCAGUUAAAAAGCUCGUAGUUGGAUUUCUGGUCGGAAGCUACUGUCCUCUGAUGAGCGUACAAGUGCGUCCUACCAUCCUUCUGUUAACCUUUAAGGCUUUCGCGGCUUUCUAGGGGCUCAGAUAUUUUACCUUGAGAAAAUUAGAGUGUUUCAGGCAGGCUAGCGCCGGAAUACAUUAGCAUGGAAUAAUGGAAUAGGACUUUUGCCUCUUCUGUUGGUCAUGAGGCUCGAGUAAUGAUUAAUAGGGAUAGUUGGGGGCAUUAGUACUUAACUGUCAGAGGUGAAAUUCUCGGAUUUGUUAAAGACUAACUUAUGCGAAAGCAUUUGCCAAGGAUGUUUNCAUUAA